UGAGGCAGGAGAAUUGCUUGAACCCGGGAGGUGGAGCUUGCAGUGAGCCGAGAUCGCGCCACUGUACUCCAGCCUGGGUGACAGAGCGAGACUCCAUCUAA
Molecule: microRNA precursor, 101 nt
Filed under: Chlorocebus sabaeus (green monkey)
Lineage: Eukaryota; Metazoa; Chordata; Mammalia; Primates; Cercopithecidae
Description: miRNA (ENSCSAG00000021257.1)
Source: RNAcentral